GCCAACAACUGUUGGAGAAUGACGUUAACCUCAGGCAUGGGAAUGCUACAUUUUCUAGGAUUUGACAUUUUCAGCAAUCGAGGAUUACUACACUUUAUAAAUGGAGAUACCUCUACUAAAAACAGAAUGCUAUAAACAGAAUGAUGUCUUUUGUUUCCAAAGUCAAUGUACAAGAGCAAUGCAAAAAUAAUAAUAAAAGAGAGAUUUCCUGGAAAAGUUAUCUCGGAGUAAACGCUACAGCCUCAAGUGCCACUCAGCCCCAAAGAAGAAUGCCAUGUUCUUGUUGUGGAAGGAGGCUGAAGGGUCCUGCUGAGAUUGUGUUUGGCUUGGCACAAAGUCCAGCGGGAAAAUGACCAGAG
RNAcentral lists this long non-coding RNA (359 nucleotides) under Homo sapiens (human). RNAcentral describes it as "non-protein coding lnc-EVA1C-1:1". The record is from RNAcentral. Lineage: Eukaryota; Metazoa; Chordata; Mammalia; Primates; Hominidae.